Molecule: ribosomal RNA, 122 nt
Filed under: Diaphorina citri (Asian citrus psyllid)
Lineage: Eukaryota; Metazoa; Arthropoda; Insecta; Hemiptera; Psyllidae
Source: RNAcentral
CUCAGUGGCGAUAGCGCGUUGAAUGCCCCCUGGAUCACAGUUUCCCCUGGAUCACUGAAGCAACUUCGCGCGUGGUUAGUAUCCGGACGGGUGACCACCUGGACAAUCGCGUUCUGAUGGCU